Molecule: ribosomal RNA, 253 nt
Filed under: uncultured bacterium
Lineage: Bacteria
Description: partial 16S ribosomal RNA
Rfam family: Bacterial small subunit ribosomal RNA
Source: RNAcentral
GACGUAGGGGGCGAGCGUUGUCCGGAUUUACUGGGCGUAAAGAGCGCGCAGGCGGUCGGAUAAGUCGAAUGUGAAAGCCCCCGGCUCAACUGGGGAGGGUCAUUCGAUACUGUUCGACUCGAAGGCAGGAGAGGGAAGUGGAAUUCCCGGUGUAGUGGUGAAAUGCGUAGAUAUCGGGAGGAACACCAGUGGCGAAGGCGACUUCCUGGCCUGUUCUUGACGCUGAGGCGCGAAAGCUAGGGGAGCAAACGGG